UUGAUUCUUAUGUGAUUCAGACAUACGACUGAUUUACGCGUCGAGGCGGCGCCGGAGCGCCGAAGCACGGGUCGCUUCCACUUGGUUUGUGAGUCGAGGGACACGAGGGCCCCGUUCGAUAAUGAUCCCUCCGCAGGUUCACCUACGGAGA
Molecule: unclassified non-coding RNA, 151 nt
Filed under: uncultured fungus
Lineage: Eukaryota; Fungi
Description: sequence contains ITS1
Source: RNAcentral